RNAcentral lists this transfer RNA (77 nucleotides) under Oscillospiraceae bacterium. RNAcentral's name for it is "tRNA-Arg". It matches the Rfam family "tRNA". From Rfam's summary of the family: Transfer RNA (tRNA) molecules are approximately 80 nucleotides in length. The record is from RNAcentral. Lineage: Bacteria; Bacillati; Bacillota; Clostridia; Eubacteriales; Oscillospiraceae.
GCGUCCGUAGUUCAAUUGGAUAGAGCGUCAGAUUCCGGUUCUGGAUGUUGGGGGUUCGAGUCCCUUCGGGCGUGCCA